RNAcentral lists this ribosomal RNA (499 nucleotides) under uncultured Glomeromycotina. RNAcentral describes it as "SSU rRNA". It matches the Rfam family "Eukaryotic small subunit ribosomal RNA", at positions 591 to 1092 of the family's 1831-position model. Lineage: Eukaryota; Fungi; Glomeromycota. The record is from RNAcentral.
CCAAUAGCGUAUAUUAAAGUUGUUGCAGUUAAAAAGCUCGUAGUUGAAUUUCGAGACCGGUUUACUGGUCGUGCUUUUGUACGUUCUGGUAUAAUCGGUUUCUCUUUUCUGACGAACUAUAAUGCCAUUAAUUUGGUGUUAUAGGGAAUCAGGACUGUUACUUUGAAAAAAUUAGAGUGUUUAAAGCAGGCUCACGCUUGAAUACAUUAGCAUGGAAUAACGAAAUAGGACGUUUGAUUUUAUUUUGUUGGUUUCUAGGAUCGACGUAAUGAUUAAUAGGGAUAGUUGGGGGCAUUAGUAUUCAAUUGUCAGAGGUGAAAUUCUUGGAUUUAUUGAAGACUAACUACUGCGAAAGCAUUUGCCAAGGAUGUUUUCAUUAAUCAAGAACGAAAGUUAGGGGAUCGAAGACGAUCAGAUACCGUCGUAGUCUUAACCAUAAACUAUGCCGACUAGGGAUCGGAUGAUGUUAAUUUUUUAAUGACUCAUUCGGCGCCUUACG